RNAcentral lists this unclassified non-coding RNA (378 nucleotides) under uncultured bacterium. Its description in RNAcentral is "contains 16S-23S intergenic spacer region". The record is from RNAcentral.
UCCGGUUUGUCACCGGCAGUCCCAUUAGAGUCCCCGCCAUGACGCGCUGGCAACUAAGGACAAGGGUUUCGCUCGUUAAGGGACUUAACCCAACACCUCACGGCACGAGCUGACGACAGCCAUGCACCACCUGUGCACCCGUCCCGAAGGAGGCCCCCCUUUCGGAGGGUUGCGAGUGUAUGUCAAGCCCAGGUAAGGUUCUUCGCGUUGCAUCGAAUUAAACCACACGCUCCGCUGCUUGUGCGGGUCCCCGUCAAUUCCUUUGAGUUUUAGUCUUGCGACCGUACUCCCCAGGCGGGCUACUUAAUGCGUUAGCUUCGGCACAGGAGGGGUCAACACCCCCCACACCUAGUAGCCAUCGUUUACUGCUAGGACUAA